This 16687-nucleotide long non-coding RNA is filed under the name Vitis vinifera (wine grape). RNAcentral describes it as "long non-coding RNA (VVIN_LNC004276)". Lineage: Eukaryota; Viridiplantae; Streptophyta; Magnoliopsida; Vitales; Vitaceae. The record is from RNAcentral.
ACAUGGUGUUUUGGUGAUGUGCACUUCCUAUUCAUAUGUAAGAGAUCAUAUGACAGAAUUAUGGGACCAUAAGUGAAAAUGCUGCUUGUGUGAAUCUGUUUUUUCUUUUCUUUUUAUGUUGUAGGCCAUGACUGGAGUGAAGCCAUAUAUAUGCAGUAUGCCAUUGAGAAUGGAUGAGGGAUGGAAUACAAUCCAGUUGAAUCUUGCUGAUUUUAUCAGAAGAGCAUAUGGAACAGACCAUGUUGAGACAUUGUUAGUCCAGAUUCAUGCAAAUUGCCAGCUGAGAUGAAUUUAUUUCUCUGACCCCCUUUGCUCGGAAGAACUCCCACCAGAAUUCAAACUGUAUCUCCCAAUGCAGGUACCAUAGCCAAUCACCUGGUCAAAUAACUAUAAAAUUGGAUUCUACUUGCUUUUCAUUUGCUGUCAAUAACCAUAAAUCACUUUUGUUGCAGAAAGCAUGAUGGGGUUCGUGGCACAGUAAGCUAAGGGACUUGUGCUGCCCAUGUUUUCAGAACACAGUAUCUUCAAAAUUCGGAAUGUGUUUCUUCACCAAGGGAUGGCAUUUAAUCCUGCUGAGAUGAACACCAUCGUUUCUACUUGCUUGAUACUUGUUUAAAAUAUUACCAUUUUAGGAUUUCAUGAAGUGAAUAUAUCUUAUUUCGUCAAGCUCAUUUUGUGGGUGGAAUGGGGAUUUCAUGAUUUGAGUAUUUAUAUUUCAAUGGAUGUGUUGUUGUAGUGGUGAAACUUCUUCAUAACACAAGGCUGUGUUUUGAGAAAGGAAUCAAAUGCUUUUGCAAAGUUUGGAAUUAAUGUUACAAAGAAAUGUUCCUAAAAAAUUGUGACGAUAUUAUUGCAUUUAUCAGUGAUAUAAUGCUUACUGCCUUGUUUAGUAAAGAGAGAUAAACAGCUAGCACUGUAAUUUUGGCUUUGGGUCAGCUACUAAGGCCAGUCCAGAAAGCCGGUCCUGCAUGUCUCAGCCAACUGCAUCUAAAUCAACCUCUGCAUCUGUCUCCCCAUCUAUCAUUCCAGCCUCUGCUUCAGCAUCUGCUUCUGACUGCCCUGCCUCCUGACCUGCAUCGGUGUCAGAGCUUUGCUUCUGAUUUUCAUCUGCUGUUGGAGUUGUGGCUGUGACAUCAGUGUCCAUUGGUGCCGCUGAGGCUUCAAGAUCAACUCUGGUUCCCUCCCCAUCAAUCUCACUUGCAGGUGUUGCGAUCUUGCAAUAACAAUAAAACAAAACAUCUAAAAACCACCAAAAAGGCAAAAAAAUGACCAUACAAACUUUCAAUCCCGGAGGUAAUUCUUUGUAAGGCAAUACACUAAUACAGAAUCCACUAAAAUUUCUGAAAAUUGAUGCAUAUAGCCUCUUAAAACAAAAUUCUAGCAGCUAAAUUUUAGAAAAGGUGGCCAACUGUAUUCUUACAAGUUAUGAUUCAAAAAGGGCAGGUAAUACAGGAGGAAGCAGAGAGAUAUAAAGGUUGACACUCCAUAAUUCAAGGAAGGCUUAACUCAUAAAAUUAACAUUCCUUGAACGGUUGAACUUAUACCUUACCUAUCUUAAACUCUCAAAACUUACCAAAUCAAAGAUGAUCUAUCCUGAAGUUUAAAACACAGCAAGGUUCUUUUUUGAGAACCACAAUCACAAGGAAUAAAUAAAUGAGUUGGCAAUCUUACUGCAGAUCCCGGCAAAUCUACCAUAUGACCAUAACUAGUACAAAAUAUGCCCAAAUUGGUACCAAUAUUUAUACUUUCUAGCAAACUCUGACACAGAAUAAAGUAGGCAUCAAAUGUGUGAUUUCACCCUUCAUCCAUGCAUUUCAGUCUUGUUUCAUACUGCUUAGUUUCUACUAAGUUUAGCCAGUAAUGCGACUGCACUUGUGUUUAACACAAGACCAAUCAAGACCUUCGGCAGAAGAUUUUCGUAGUACAAGCUCCAAAUAUUGUUCUUUGACCUUAGGACCUACAUGAUAUUGGCUGGCUGAGAAAGUAUAAAAAAUUCAAUAUAUUCAGAAUGAAGUGACUCAAUUUGGCCAGAGGAUCCUCAGCCCCAGUGAAAGAUCAAUGUAGGGCCCCUGGCUUGUUAUGAAGGGCACUACAAAGGCAGAGGUGAUAAGCUUUUUUCAAAUUCCCAUUAAAAAACAGUACUGUAAAAUCAUGUUAGCUCCACAAUCAACUUUCAGGAAUGAUUCAAAUACAUUGGAAAGCUUAAUACUGCCAAAAAUACCUGGUUUUCCUCUGCUUGUUGUGCAGCACCUUUUGUUUCUUCUUUUUUAGCACGUUUAGACCUGUCACUUGGUUUAGCUUGAUAUUUGGACCGGACAUCUGAAGGCAAAAGUUCCAUAGGCACAACCCCUUCAAUUCCAUACUCAGUAAACUGCAGCAAAACCAACCCAUUCUGUUAAAUCAAAUGUUAACCCACUUCUUUAAUUAACUAGUAUCUUGUAGAAAAAGUAAAUCAUACUCUAGAAAAUCCAUCCAAGUCCUGCCGAGCUGCAAAUCGAAGACCUUUCCAGCAAUAAACCUGCAUCAUAAAUAAGCAAAACAUUUUUAUAUAAAGGAAAGUUGACAUAAAGACAAAUGACCAACAUUACAAAUAUAAUAAAAUACUAAAAUUCAUGCUUUGCAUAACACAUGAAAAACUCAAUGCACCUUUUGAAGAAAGCAAGAUGGUGGAUCUGUCAACCACAUUUUAAUGUCGACAGAGCACAAUCUCUUAUGUCAACAUUUUGAGACACCCUACUUUAUAUAUAGGUAUAGAUAUAUAGAUAUAGGGAACUCUUGAAAACUCCUUGGCAAUUGAAAUAUAGGAACUUGUGAGAAGCCAGUUUUCUCCCACAAUGCAGUCACUGAUAACUUACUAUACUAAGAAAUCUUCAUAUUUGCUCAUUAGGAUAAAUAAGAUCCCAAAUGAAAUUUGAUAACUCAAUCUAAAUGUUCAUCCAGAAUUUCAGGAUUCUGGUAGCAAUGCAGAGACACCUCAAACUCAAAAGAGAAAAAAUGCGAUGGAAGAGAUGGCAUAAGGGAUGGUCUUCCCAACCAUAGAUAAUUCUAGAAAUGAAUUAAGAGGAUCCAUCAGUGACAAGAAGAUGAAUAUGACUAAUGAAGUCAGAUAACACGAGGCUAUAGAUUUUCAGGGGUAUUGUUGCAAUUUUCUGACCACAACAUUGGCAAUCUUACCUGAUGCUACUCUCAUGGUCAACAGUGCUAUUUUCCCUUUUUCUUUUCUGUUCCUUAAAGGGAAAUUUCAUCUUCUUCCAGAACCUCUCAUCUUUAUAAACCCAAGUAAACCAACAAAGCACAAAGCUCAAAGAGAACGAGAGAAAAAGUCAUUAAAAGUUUGUAAUUAUUUUCUGACAUGACUUCAAACAAGGGCCACCCAAAAUCUAAGCAUUUGAUAAUGGAAAUUUUGGUCCAACCAUCAGCUCCUCACUUUUCAAUUGCACAAUGGCUCAAUGAAACAUGAAUGUUACAUGCGUCUAGCACAUGCAUCACUUAUUUCACAUGUUCCCAGCAGUUAUGUGAUAAUCAUCAGUGUUUUGACAAUAUUUCGAGAUUUUCACUAAAAAGUCAAUCGAGGAUAUCUUAUUAGAUGGAUAACACAUUGGGAUAAAGUGAUACUUGAAAUUAUAUGUGAGAUUUCAGCAAUAGUUUCAAAAUUUUCAUCCAUGCAUAUAUGAAUCAGAUUUUCAUUAUUUUUUAAAAUUUUUUUUGCUUGAUUGUAUGUGUCUUUGAGUUGUUUCAUCCAGCCUUAACUUCCAUAGAUCUUGGUAUCUAGAUAUGUAAAAAUUUCUUUUUAUGCUUAGAUCACUGAUCAUGUGACUAUUUUGAUUUCAUUCAACAACCUAAACACCAUAAUUUAGGGUUAUAUAGUGUUGUAAUGACAUAUACUGUUUAAUAUGCUAUUUUCCUUUUUAUAAGAACUGUUUAUUGUUAUAAUCAGCUCGGAAGUUAUGUUGAGGAUGUUUGACUGCUAAUGAUGGGGAGUGAUGUAGGAUCCUAAAAUUUCUAGCACUAUGCAACUUUCUUGUGUUAUGGAAUAAGGUGAAGAAACUAAAAGAUGGAUUGGAAAAAUAAAAAGAUAUCCUUCGCAAUCAUACAAAGGUUCCUAGGCAAUCACAGUUAGGAAAAAUGCAAUUACACCCUUAAAAGAAGCAUAAUGGAUGCUGAAUCUUUUACUAAAUUCUCUUUUCUCACUUUGAAAAGUUACAUAGGACAACUGUCCUAAUGACCCUUUCCUAAUAGGACAACUCUCCUAAUUCCUUAUUUUCCCUUGUAAGAAUACGAAAAGAUAUAGGAAAGGAAUAUCAUUUAGAAACUAAAGAAAUAGAAACCUAACAAAAGCUGACAACUAUAAUAAAAACCUAACUAACUAAAAUAGAAACUUAACAAACAAACUAUGCCAUAUUAAGGCUUGGACAUUAGAACCAGCCUUAACCCUUCUCUUAUAAGUCUUCAAAGGAUGUUUCCAUCGUUGUUCCCCAUCAGGGAGUGUUUUGGAUACUAAAAAAAUAUCAUGUUAGGCUUAUGUUCUGUUCUUCUCUUCAACUGAGAUGCAAGUGAAACCACUAGAUUUCAAGUUACAUUUCCAAAUGUUAUGAUAUUUCCUAAUUUUUGUGAAAUCAUAUGUUUUAAGCAUUUUUCAUGUUUCCAAAUUUUUACCAAAAAGAAAGGAUAAAAGAGUGUUUCAGUCUCUGAAUUGACAACAUGUCAUCCUUGAAAGCCAAUCUAUUCCUCGCCUUCCAAACCGUCCAGAAAAUGUGAAGAGGAGCAGCUCUCCACGCCUUCUUGCGUUUUUUGCCUGUUGAAUAUAAUGUAUUUAUAGUAUAUUAUCUUUCCUUGUUAAUAUAGGUCACAUGUAUGGUAGUUAGGACUCCUAGCCUUGUAUAUAUAUAUCUCUCAAUUGUAAGUAGAAAACAUAUGAAUGAGAAUAAGGUUUUUCUCCUUUCUCUCUCUCUCUCUCAACAUGGUAUCAGAGCCAAAGGAGAAAACCUAAUUAUUUUUCCGGUUUAGCCGUGUAAUCAAUUCCGGCGAACCAUCCAGUGACCGUGUUUCACUCUGGUCCCCUCAUUUUCUUCCCGAACCACUCCGGACAACCUCAUCGCCGUCGGAUCUCCACCACGCCGGCAACCUUUUCCGGCGAACUUUCCGGCGAACUUUUCCGGCGACGUCUUUUUCCGACACCGACCACACCAAGAGGAGCGCCUGGAGGAGAUCUCCCACUUCUUCAAAAGCAUCGGAGCCAGAAAACCCUCCACGCUCCGGCCACGCGCACUUCUCCGGCCGGCGACUGAAUCUCACGCGCCGGCGCGUGAGGGCGCGUGAGACCUUUUCCGGCGACGCGCCUCCUCCUCCAGCCUCGCCUGACGCCGACCAGCAUCCCUACCUACCUGGUUCUCCCAUCUGAGCCCUGCACGUACCUCUUUUGGGGAUUUUUGUCUCCGUCAGCCCUCCAAACAGCCUUUCCGGCGAAGUUCCGGCUACUUUUUCUCCACCCCAAUCCCUGCACGUGCCUUGGGAAGUGUUCUUCUACCCUUCUGGUGGUACCACGUCGCGAUCUGAGGCCGUCUCCCUUUUUCGGUGGUGCCACGCCGCAAUCUGAAGCCGUAUUAGGGCUCUCUUCGAUCCAAAUAUGUAAAUAUGACCACCAAAAAUCAGAUCUUUACCUCUGUUAUCUCUGGAUCUCCUAUGAUUACCUCAGAGAAAUUGGUUGGCAGUGAGAAUUAUCGCUCCUGGUCUGCCUCUGUUGAACUUUGGUUUAUGGGUCAAGGAUAUGAGGAUCACUUGGUUACCCCGGAGGCAGAUAUCCCUGAGGUUGACCGCGUACAGUGGAGGAAGAUAGAUGCACAGUUAUGUAGUGUAUUAUGGCAAUCGGUUGAUCCCAGGAUUCUUCUUCAUCUUCAGGCUUAUAAAACUUGUUUUAAAUUUUGGACUCAAGCCAAAGGAUUAUACACGAAUGAUAUCCAGCGUCUUUAUAAGGUGGCUUCUGCUAUUGUCCAUCUCAGCCAACAGGACUUGGAUCUAUCUACUUAUAUUGGUCAGAUUGCCUCUCUUAAGGAGGAGUUCUUGACUGUGAUGCCUCUUACUCCUGAUGUUGGGGCUCAACAAACACAGCUUGACAAGUUCUUCAUGGUCCUUACUCUUAUUGGCCUCCGUCCGGAUCUUGAGUCUAUUCGUGAUCAGAUUCUUGGAAGUUCAUCAGUUCCGUCCUUGGAUGAUGUGUUUGCUCGCCUCCUCCGUAUCUCGUCCACUCAGACUUUGCCAUCUGAUAGCGCUUCAGAUUCUUCUGUGUUAGUUUCUCAAACUACCUCUCGAGGAGGACACAGUGGUACCCGAGGUAGAGGCCAACGUCCUCAUUGCACCUAUUGCAAUAAACUUGGCCACACUCGCGAUCGUUGCUAUCAGUUACAUGGAAGACCUCCUCGCACUGCCCAUAUGGCCCAGUCCUCUGAUUCUCCGCUGCCUCAGCCUCCGAGCUCCUCCGCAUCUCAGACAUCUCAGGCUUCUAUUGCCUCUGUUGCCCAGCCUGGUAAUGUCUCUGCCUGCCUUACCCACACAUCUUCUCUUGGACCCUGGAUUCUAGAUUCUGGAGCAUCUGAUCACCUAUCUGGUAAUAAGGAUCUUUCUCUCUAUACUACUACCUCUGAUUUACCUACUGNNNNNNNNNNNNNNNNNNNNNNNNNNNNNNNNNNNNNNNNNNNNNNNNNNNNNNNNNNNNNNNNNNNNNNNNNNNNNNNNNNNNNNNNNNNNNNNNNNNNNNNNNNNNNNNNNNNNNNNNNNNNNNNNNNNNNNNNNNNNNNNNNNNNNNNNNNNNNNNNNNNNNNNNNNNNNNNNNNNNNNNNNNNNNNNNNNNNNNNNNNNNNNNNNNNNNNNNNNNNNNNNNNNNNNNNNNNNNNNNNNNNUAAAGGUAUUGGUUUGGCCCUUCCUCUGCCUUUUCUACCUCUCACUUCUGUCCUUUAUACUCCUGAAUGUCCUUUUAAUCUUAUUUCCAUCAACAAAAUCACUCGUACUCUUAAUUGCUCUAUUACCUUUUCUGAUAAAUUUGUGACCUUGCAGGACCGGAGUACGGGGAAGAUGAUUGGCAUAGGACGUGAGUCUCAAGGCCUCUAUCACCUCACCUUAGAUUCAUCUCCUGCAGUUUGCAUUUCCACUAAUGCUCCUCUCCUCAUUCACAAUCGUCUGGGCCACCCUAGUCUUUCCAAGUUCCAGAAGAUGGUUCCUCGUUUUUCCACUUUGUCGUCGCUUCCGUGUGAGUCAUGUCAGCUUGGGAAACAUACUCGUGUCUCGUUCCCAAAGCGUUUGAAUAAUCGGGCAAAGUCUCCUUUUGAGCUUGUCCACACUGAUGUUUGGGGUCCUUGUCGGACUGCGUCUACUUUAGGAUUUCAGUAUUUUGUCACUUUCAUUGAUGACUAUUCUCGAUGUACUUGGUUAUUUUUAAUGAAAAAUCGAGCUGAGUUAUUAUCUAUUUUCCAGAAAUUUUAUACUGAAAUCCAAACCCAGUUCAAUAUUUCUAUUCGUGUGUUACGCAGUGACAAUGCUAGGGAAUAUUUUUCAGCCCAAUUUACUUCGUUUAUGUCUCAUCAUGGAAUUCUUCAUCAGUCUUCUUGUGCUCAUACUCCUCAACAAAAUGGGGUAGCUGAACGCAAGAAUCGACAUCUUGUUGAGACAGCUCGUACUCUCCUCCUCCAUAGUCACGUUCCUUUUCGUUUUUGGGGGGACGCUGUUCUUACCGCUUGUUAUUUGAUUAAUCGUAUGCCCUCCUCUGUCUUACACGAUCAGAUUCCUCACUCCCUUCUCUUCCCUGACCAACCACUUUAUUUCCUUCCUCCUCGUGUCUUUGGUUGUACUUGCUUUGUUCAUAUUCUCACUCCUGGACAGGACAAGCUUUCCGCCAAAGCCAUGAAGUGCCUCUUCUUGGGAUAUUCCAGACUUCAGAAGGGUUAUCGUUGUUAUUCCCUUGAGACUCGUAGAUACUUUAUCUCCGCUGAUGUCACCUUCUUUGAGGACUCACCAUUCUUUUCCACCACUUCUGAGUCUCUUCCUGUUUCUAAAGUUUUGCCCAUUCCCAUUGUCUCCCCACCUGAUGCUAUGCCCCCUUGACCACUUCAGGUUUAUCAUCGUCGCCCUCGUGUCGUUGCUCCUCUCCCUUUUCCUGAGGCACCUGCUGACUCACUUCCUAUCCCUUCGACUUCACCUGCCCCGGCUCUGCCUUCUCCUAAUGACUUACCCAUUGCUGUUCGGAAAGGUACUCGCUCUACUCGUAAUCCUCAUCCUAUUUACAAUUUUUUGAGUUAUCAUCGCUUAUCUUCACCCUAUUCUGCUUUUGUUUCUGCUAUAUCCUCUGUUUCUCUUCCAAAGAGCACCCAUGAAGCUCUUUCCCAUCCAGGCUGGCGACAGGCAAUGGUAGAUGAAAUGGCUGCUCUGCACUCUAAUGGCACUUGGGAUCUUGUUGUUUUACCCUCUGGUAAAUCUACAGUUGGUUGUCGUUGGGUCUAUGCCGUUAAGGUUGGUCCUGAUGGUCAGGUUGAUCGCCUUAAGGCCCGCUUAGUUGCUAAAGGCUAUACUCAAGUUUAUGGUUCUGAUUAUGGUGACACAUUCUCCCCUAUUGCCAAGAUUGCUUCUGUCCGCUUGCUUCUCUCCAUGGCUGCUAUGUGUUCUUGGCCUCUUUAUCAGUUGGAUAUUAAAAAUGCCUUCCUUCAUGGUGAUCUUGCCGAGGAAGUUUAUAUGGAGCAACCUCCUGGUUUUGUUGCUCAGGGGGAGUCUGGUUUAGUGUGCAGGUUACGCCGUUCUCUAUAUGGCUUGAAACAAUCUCCUCGAGCAUGGUUUAGCCGUUUUAGUUCUGUUGUUCAAGAGUUUGGCAUGCUUCGCAGUACAGCAGACCAUUCAGUUUUUUAUCAUCAUAACUCCUUGGGGCAGUGUAUUUAUCUGGUUGUUUAUGUGGACGACAUCGUCAUUACAGGCAGUGAUCAGGAUGGUAUUCAGAAACUAAAGCAACAUCUUUUUACCCACUUUCAGACCAAAGACUUGGGGAAACUCAAGUAUUUCUUGGGAAUUGAGAUAGCUCAAUCCAGUUCUGGUGUGGUCCUUUCCCAAAGGAAGUAUGCUUUAGACAUCCUGGAAGAAACCGGUAUGUUAGACUGUAAACCGGUAGACACACCUAUGGAUCCGAAUGUCAAACUUGUACCAGGACAGGGGGAGCCUUUAGGAGACCCUGGGAGAUAUCGACGGCUCGUAAGUAAAUUGAACUAUCUCACCAUUACUCGUCCAGACAUUUCUUUUCCUGUGAGUGUUGUUAGUCAAUUCCUACAGUCACCAAGUGAUAGCCAUUGGGAUGCCGUAAUCCGUAUUCUUCGAUAUAUCAAAAGUACACCAGGCCAAGGUGUAUUGUACGAGAACAGAGGUCAUACUCAAGUUGUUGGUUACACAGAUGCAGAUUGGGCUGGCUCACCCACAGAUAGACGUUCCACUUCAGGGUACUGUGUUUUUAUUGGAGGUAAUCUAAUAUCUUGGAAGAGUAAGAAACAAGAUGUAGUGGCCAGAUCUAGCGUUGAAGCUGAGUAUCGAGCUAUGGCUUUGGCAACAUGUGAACUCAUAUGGUUGAGACAUCUUCUUCAGGAGUUGAGAUUUGGAAAGGAUGAACAGAUGAAACUCAUCUGUGAUAACCAGGCCGCAUUACAUAUUGCAUCCAAUCCAGUCUUUCAUGAAAGGACCAAGCAUAUUGAAGUUGACUGUCAUUUCAUUAGAGAGAAGAUCGCAUCAGGAUGUGUUGCUACAAGUUUUGUUAAUUCAAAUGAUCAACUAGCAGACAUCUUCACUAAAUCUCUCAGAGGUCCUAGGAUUAAAUAUAUUUGUAACAAGCUUGGUGCAUAUGACGUAUAUGCUCCAGCUUGAGGGGGAGUGUUGAAUAUAAUGUAUUUAUAGUAUAUUAUCUUUCCUUGUUAAUAUAGGUCACAUGUAUGGUAGUUAGGACUCCUAGCCUUGUAUAUAUAUAUCUCUCAAUUGUAAGUAGAAAACAUAUGAAUGAGAAUAAGGUUUUUCUCCUUUCUCUCUCUCUCUCUCAACAUUGCCCAAGAAAAAACCAUUCCAACUUAGAAGGGUUUCUCUAACUAAAGAAGGUAAGACCCAAGACACCCCAAAUAAAGUAAAAGUUCCUAAAACAUCUUCUCACUGGGUGUUCCCAUAUUAUUUUUUUUUUUUGAUAAGUAAAUAAGAUUUCAUAUAUAAAAGAGACGCUAAAAAAGCGACUCAAAGUAUACAAUACCUAUACACUCGCCUUCAAUAAGGCCCAAAAAACAAAGAUAGCCCUACACCACAAACCUACUUAGAGCCCAACCAAUCAAUAAAAUUAGCUAUAGUUAGAGAGCAAUCAUCUAUGAGCAACUUAGUCUCAGACCAAAAAGAAAGGAUAAAAGAGUGUUUCAGUCUCUGAAUUGACAACAUGUCAUCCUUGAAAGCCAAUCUAUUCCUCGCCUUCCAAACCGUCCAGAAAAUGUGAAGAGGAGCAGCUCUCCACGCCUUCUUGCAUUUUUUGCCCAAGAAAAAACCAUUCCAACUUAGAAGGGUUUCUCUAACUAAAGAAGGUAAGACCCAAGACACCCCAAAUAAAGUAAAAAGUAGAUCCCAUAACACCCUUGUUCUUGAACAAUGAAGGAGAAAAUGGUUUAUGUUCUCCUCUUUCUCAAGACACAUAAAGCAUUUAUUUGCCAAUGCCCGUCCUCUUUUCUGGACUAUAUCCAAGGUCAAGGCUUUGCCCCAUGUAGCCUCCCAUGCAAAGAAACUAACCUUGGGCUGCACAUUCACAUUCCAAAUAUAGCUUGAAGGAAAUAGAGAUGAACCACCCGCUUCAAGGGCUACAUAGAGAGACUUGACCGAGAAUUUACCACUCUUAGUUUCAGUCCAAGACACCAUAUCCUCCACAUCCUCAAUAACUCUCUUACCCUGUAGCCUCUCCAAAAAUCUUUCCGCCUCCUCUACCUCCCAAUCAUUGAACGCUCUUAAAAAACAGGGGUUCCAACCCCCUCAGCCAAGGGGUCCCAAAUAUCUGCCACCCACGCUUCCUUCUCAACAGUCAAAGCAAAAAGAGAAGGAAAGGACAUACACAAAGGAGAAUCCCCACACCAUCUAUCCCUCCAAAAUCUCACCUUUCUCCCAUUACCAACUUUGAAAACCAUCCUAUCGCUCACCAACUUCCAAUCCAUCCUUAUUCCUUUCCACAACCCCAUACCAUGAGCCUCUCUCGCUUCCCGAGAGCACCAACCCCCUCUAUCUUCUCCAUACUUCCCUCUAAUCACUUGAUUCCACAAAGCCUCUCUCUCAUUUGCGAAACCCCAAUUCCAUUUAGCAAGAAGUGCCUUGUUGAGAAAGGAAAGACAUUUGACCCCCAAACCUCCUUUCGACUUACUUAAACAUACCAACUCCCAUCUUACUAAAUGAGGCUUUCGCUCCAAAUUGCCCCUACCCCAAAGGAAGUCCCUUUGGAUUUUCUCUAAUCUCCAUCUGACUGAGCUUGGUAAGUACAACAAUGACAUUAGAUAGAUGGGUAAAUUCGAUAACAUGCUUUGAAUAAGAGUUGCCCUUCCUCCCUUGGAUAAAUAUUGUCUCUUCCACAUGGCUAACCUUCUUCGGAAGCGCUCUUCCACACCAUCCCAAACUGUAACGACUUAAAAGGAGCACCCAAGGGCAUCCCCAAAUAGGUGGUUGGAAGACUACCCAUACUACAACCAAAUUCCCAAGCAAGAUCAUCCAUAUACUUUACCCUCCCUACUGGAAUGAGUUCACUUUUUUCUAAAUUCAUUCUCAAUCCCGAAAUGGCCUCAAACCACAUAAGUAACCAACUGAGAUAAGUCAACUGAUCUUGAGAAGGUUUACAGAACACCAGUGUAUCGUCAGCAAACAACAAGUGGGAAAUUAGGACCCCUUCUUCACUCCUACCCUUCACCCUACAACCCGAUAAGAAACCUCCCUCUAUGGCCCUGUUGAGAAAAGCACUAAAGACCUCCAUAGCUAUCACAAAGAGGUAAGGGAAAAGGAGAUCGCCCUGUCUCAAACCUCUGGAGCUUUGGAAGAAGCUUGUAGGGGUUCCAUUGACCAACACGGAGGAACUUGCAGUGGAUAUACACCACUUAAUCCACCUGAUCCAUUUUUCCCCAAAACCCAUUUUCUGCAUAAUUGUGAGAAUAAAAGUCCAGUCCACUUUAUCAUACGCCUUCUCUAUAUCCAGUUUUCACAAGAUGCCACUCUCAUUGUUCUUGAUGAUCGAAUCAAUGGCUUCAUUAGCUAUCAACAUUGCAUCUAAGAUUUGUCUACCUUCCACAAACGCCCCUUGAGCCUUGGAAACCACCUUUCCAACCACUUUUUUUAGCCUAUUGGCUAAGACCUUGGCCAGCCACUUGUACAAGCUUCCCACCAAGCUUAUAGGCCUAAAAUCCCCUAAAGCUUCAACCCCUGCUUUUUUUGGAAUUAGAACCAUAAAAGUUGCAUUUAGGCUUUUAACAAAUUUACCAUUUUCGUAGAAUUCCUUGAAAAAACACAUCACAUCAGCCUUCACGAAAUCCCAAGCAAAUUGCCAAAAGGCCAUAGAGUAAAUACACCAUAUGGAAUGCAAACCAACGGAACCUAAAUGUAUAGGGUAAGACCAUCUACCCGGUUAUUUUUAUGGUGAUAUUCAGCUUCAAUUCCAGCGGAUGAGUCCAUCUGCAAUUCCAACAAGAAAUUAACUUCAUUAUGAUAGUUCACAUGGUCAAGUAAAAGCUUAAGAUCAGAAAGAAAAACUCCAGAAAACUUUUUUUUAUGUUAUGAAGGGAAAAAAGGAAUCAAAAGUAAAAAAGAUCACUAUAUUAAUUUGAAAUGUAGAAGUAACACAGGAUGCUCACAUCUUCAGCCAAGGGUUUCCAAUACUCUGAGACAGCGGGAGUGCGGACACGCUGUGGAUCAGUAAGAGCAUUCUGGACAGGCAAAUAAAAACCAAGGCAUGAGAACGGUAGAAUGAUUAUCCAAAACUAUCAAAUAAUAUUAUGUUAGAAUGUCCCUUCAUAUCAAAAUCAGAAAAAAAACAAGUAUUAAUGUAUUAUGAAACACUCAAAAGAUCGGUAACUUGGGAAUUAGCAAAGUUAUACAAGAUGGAUCUAACUAUCUCAUAACACACUUUUUAAAUUAAAAUGGUUGGAAGGUAAAAACAGACAACCAUCUUGGUAUCUUGUGGCUAUGAGGCACAUCGAUGCCCACUUUUUUUUUUCCCUGAUCAGACAUCAAUGCCCACUUCAUUCUUGAUCUUGAUAAUACUAUUGAUCUGGAAAUUAAAAUAUCAUAGCAAUCAACCUGAGAUUUAAAUUGAAAAAGAGGGAGAAAGGGAGAGAGAGAGAGAGAGAGAAGAUGAAAGUCCUGUAAUGAUUUAAUUCUCAUUACUAAGGAUGUGCUGUCUAGGGCCUAGUUUGCAUUGAUUUUAUGGGCCCCAUGGACCAAUUGUGCAACUGGACCACAAUUUUUCUCUAUUGAACUUUAAUUAUUUUGGCUUUUGAAGUGUUUGAAAUUUGACUACAAUUCUUAAAUACACCAUGUUCCAGAUGCAUCAAUCACUAUCACAAUCCAAUUUUUGUCCUACUAGUAAACAGUAACCACACUCAACUUAAAAAUCAAAUGGGGUUGUGCAGCAUUUUUCAGCCCAUUGUUAAGCCAAAAACUAUUUCAACACAUUUAACCCUUUCAGCUUCUAACGACACCCUAAUUUCCUCCUGAUCUCACCAAUAACCUGCUUGCCUUAACCUCACCCUGCACCACUUAUCACUCCAAAAUUCACGUUUGUCCAAUAGCAACUUCAAAAUUCAUAAAACUCAAGAGAACUUCCAUUCCUCCUCUAAUCAAGCCCCCUUUUUUAUACUUAUGCCUGGAUGAAUGAAUUGUAAAAUUGCUCCUCUUCAACAUUCAUUUCUUCUCUUUUCCCCAAACCAAUGAAUCUUACUUUUCUAAACAAAGAAAACUUUUUGUCUUAUAGAAACAAAGCUCUGGAGUCUGGAAGGAACGUAGAAAGUUUGUUAGGAGGGUGAGUGUGAGUAAGAACAUUUUAAGAAUUAAGUUUCUGGAUAUGAAAGAAAGCCCUUUUUACACUUCCUCAAGAAAAGUUGGAAAAUCCAAGCGUAAGUUAGUUUAACAAGCUGGUAAGCAUGACCAUUCAACCCUAUACUAAUAUUUUUUCUUUUUCUUUUGAUCCAAAUUCAACCCUAUACUUUUUUUUUUUUUUUUUGAUAAGUAAAUUUACAUAAAAUUAAUAAAGCACCAAAGAGGCACACCAAAGUAUAAAGGACAUAUACAAUAGUCGUCACAAGGCACCAAAAAAGGACAAGGGAGACAAAAAUACUCCCUUUCUCGACAAGAACCCAACCAAUCAAUGAAAUCGAAUAAGGACAAUGGUCCUUCACCUAUCAAAAGCUACAAAUAAACCCAGUUUUUAGUCCUUGGUCCGAAAGUUCCUCAUUAUCAAAAGCUUUUCUAUUUCUCUCUUUCCACAAUGUCCAAAAAAGGCACAAUGGGGCUGCUUCCCACACUUUUUUCCAUUUCCUUCCAACAAAGGAGCCAUGACACCCUAGCAAAGUUGCUUUUACAGAAGACAACACCACCCAAGAAACACCAAAAAGGGAUAACAAAAGCCCCCAUUCUCACAAUGUAGAAAAAUGUGAUCAACUGACUCCUAUUCAACAAGAUAAAGAGAACAUCUAUUUGCUAAUACCCAUCCUCUUCUCUAGAGCUGAUCAAGAGUCAGUACUUUUCCCCAAGGCGCCUCCCAGGCAAAAAAUACACGCCUUAGGAGGAACCCAUGGAUUCCAAACAACUCAUAUUGGAAAAGGCACUGAUCUUCUAAGCUGAAGAAAAGUGUAAAGAGACUUAACCAAGAAAGUUCCAUCUUUUGUAUUAAGCAUUAAAUCUCAUCCUUGACUUCCAGUAAAAAAAUAUUCCUAACAAAUAUUCAACUUCCUAAACAAAAAGAAACCUUGAAAAAAAAAAAACCAACAAUGAGAUCAUCACUCGACAAGGAAAAGAAAUAGGAAGUUAUGAAUUGUGAGAUGUGGAUUUUUAUGAAUUAGUUAUUGUUAGAUAGCUAGCUCACUUUAUGUUUGUUAUGAGUAAGAGGAUUUCAUUGGGCAACACAUGUCAAGUGAGAAACUUUUCUAGUGACUAAUACGUGCGUAAAAUUUAUAAUAUAAAAGCCUUUUCCUUUUCCAUAAAAUUAAUAAUCAUUAGGUACUAGAAUAGGGGCUAAGACCAUGUGCAAUUGUAAUAUAUUAUGCAGCAAAGUACAAAUGUGCACAUCUGUCUCCUGAUAGCAAUCAUUGUGUGCAAAAAUGCACGAGGUUAGACAGAAUCCAAUCCUCAUAUAUAGGACCAACAAAGGGUAAUAACCUGUUUAAUAAAAGGUAACAGAAUUUGAGGAAAAUACAUCUAGAAAAGAGGAUUGUGAAAAGAUCCAUACAACAUUGAUAGACCAACUUUUCUGAGUGUGAUUUGAGAGAAGGAAUCUUUACUGUGCUCCUUAGGCAAUUAAGCUAUUUACACUAAAGUGCCCUAUUCUUUAAAGGAACCUCCCAAGACCUGAACCCUCCUUGUGCUUUGGCUUAAUGCCACCUCCUACCCAACCAAAUGAUUUCAGCUAGAUUCCCCAUGACCUGGCCAAAGUGAAUCUCACUCAAUCUUUCAAUUCUGGAGGUACACUAACCGGAAUCCUAAGAGAACAAGCAGGUUGGACGGUCGGCCAAGAAAGACUAAAUCAAAGUAAUCCCUUAAAGGACAGAGGUUUUUUUCCAACAAUCAAGCUGCUUCAACACUUAAACUAAAUAGAUCUCAAAAUCCCUGGACUUUUAAUGUCACCUCUCAGCAGGAUACCUUUACAUAUUUCAAAGGCAUCUUGAUAGUCUCAUAGCCCAUUGAAGGAGGCUAUUUUUAUGCUGUCUUCCUGAUGGAUGUUGAUUCCUCCACAAGGCACUCAAUGAAGGUUAAUUUUUUUUUUUAAAGACUAGACACCAGCCUGCAGAUUUUAAGAUAGGCUUCAGGCUAUAUAAUCUUUUCAGUAGAAGAGAAAAAGUUGUAUUAUUUGCAAAGAAGUGAUGGGUAACUAUAAUUCGUUCUUGACUAAAAUUAAAACCUUUCACCCUAUUAAUCAUUCUCUCAAGUACAACCACCAGCACCCUUUAACAAGAAAAGAAAGGGGAUUGAACAUCCCCUUUUCUAGGGCUUCCUAGAAGCAUUAAUCCAAACCUAGCUAUCCUGUCAUGUACAUCAGCUAGAUCAUCAAGGACUAGAAAAACCCUGAUCAACCAACACCAUCUUAUGCUAAAGCAGUUCCCAUUCCUAGUAUGGUCCAGGAAAUCAAAAUCAACAUGAUUGUCUUCUUAAAGCCCAUUUUGAAAAACACCUUCUGUUCCAAGAUUUUGUUAGCUAUGACUUGCAUUAGAAGUUCAUUGAACCAUAUCAAAAGCUCCUUGGGAAUGGGAAAUUAUGUACUGAGGAACUUUUCUUUUUUUCCUUUCCUUUUCUUUCUUUCUUUCUUUUUUUAAUUUUCACUUCUUUUUAAUGAAAUGGCAUUUCAUUCAAAAACUUAGAGACUGUUUGUUUUUAUAAAUUUUUGUAGAAAGCAAUUUGCUUUCAAACUUUAAGUUGUUUGUUUUUCUACUUUUUAUGACUUAUUAUAAAUUUUUGGCUGAAU